Molecule: ribosomal RNA, 253 nt
Filed under: uncultured bacterium
Lineage: Bacteria
Description: partial 16S ribosomal RNA
Rfam family: Bacterial small subunit ribosomal RNA
Source: RNAcentral
UACGAAGGGGGCUAGCGUUGUUCGGAAUCACUGGGCGUAAAGGGCGCGUAGGUGGCCUGAUAAGUCGGGGGUGAAAGCCUGUGGCUCAACCACAGAAUUGCCUUCGAUACUGUUAGGCUUGAGACCGGAAGAGGUAAGUGGAACUGCGAGUGUAGAGGUGAAAUUCGUAGAUAUUCGCAAGAACACCAGUGGCGAAGGCGGCUUACUGGUCCGGUUCUGACGCUGAGGCGCGAAAGCGUGGGGAGCAAACAGG